This is a long non-coding RNA of Juglans microcarpa x Juglans regia, 559 nucleotides long. RefSeq lists it as uncharacterized. NCBI's taxonomy places the organism in Eukaryota, Viridiplantae, Streptophyta, Magnoliopsida, Fagales, Juglandaceae. The transcript is spliced from 2 exons. The record is from RefSeq and is a predicted model, not a curated record.
UUCCCUAAGGCAUGAUAUACUGUUAUGUCUUUUUCAUUGCAUCUGCUCACAGCUUCUUACUUUUAUUAAGGGAUGCAACUAAUUUAAUUGUGUACACAGCAUCUGGAGAAGCUUCAGUACUUUUGGUAUAAUUUGGCUGAUAUACCAAUCUCUUUGGGUUGUUGACUGUAAGCAGCUUUCACAUUCAAUGUCCCAUCGCCAAAUCAAUAUAGGUGAGCCAGUUUUUGAUUAUCCAUGAAUUGUCCAUACCUUCUCAUUGAGCAUAAGAGUCUUUUCCUCUACACACAACUCACAAACAACAAAUGUUCAAGACCAGAGACUUGCUCUUUUUGCAGGAAUCUUACAGCACUGCUGGAACAAAAGUACUUUCUUUACUACUUAUAAAAAAAAAAUAUAAAGUACUUUCUUUACUUGAUUUAUUCAUUAACAAAGUCCAGUGUAUCAAUGCAAGAUUAGGCUUUCAUCUGAUGUAAAUUCUGUUUCACUUGUAGUACUCUGUUGAUUUACAAAUUAUGACGUUCUAUCUAACAAUGAGAUAUGGUUUUAGAUCUUUUAUUUC